Molecule: long non-coding RNA, 1496 nt
Organism: Bos taurus (domestic cattle)
Lineage: Eukaryota; Metazoa; Chordata; Mammalia; Artiodactyla; Bovidae
Source: Ensembl
GAAAGAGCCAAGACUCCUAAUUUGCUUUUUUUUUUAAUUGUACUAAAAUAUACAUAACAUAAAAUGUGUCAUUUUAACCAUUUCCAGUUUGGUGGCAUUAAGUACAUUCACAAUGUUCUACAAUCGUCACCACUGCCAAUUUCCAGAAUUUUUUCAUCAUCCCAAACAGAAACUCGGAAUAGGAUUGAUCUCUGUAGUAGAACUGUGUUGUUGGAGAAGACUCUUGAGAGUUCCUUGGACUGCAAAGAGAUCAAUCCAAUCAAUCCUAAAGGAAAUCAGUCCUGAAUAUUUAUUGGAAGGACUGAUACUGAAGCUGAAGCUCCAAUACUUUGGCCACCUGAUGGAAAGAACUGACUCAAUGGAAAAGACCCUGAUGGCUGGGAAAGAUUGAAUGCAGGAGGAGAAGGGGGCGACAGAGAAUGAGAUGGUUGCGUGGCAUCACUGAAUCAAUGGACAUGAGUUUGAGCAAACUCCAGGAGUUGGUGAUGGACAGGAAAGCCUGGCAUGCUGCAGUCCAUGGGGUUCAAAGAGUCGAACAUGACUGAGCGACUGAACAACAACAACUAUAGCAGAUGGCUGUUUACAGAAUGACUUUGAUAGGACAUGGCUGACUGUGAAAGGAAGGCUGAUUUCUAAAGUCUGGAAGAUUUGGGAUGAAGAGUCCAGAGCCUGCAGCUGGAUUGAAAGAGUUAAAUUCCCAGCUCUACCUUGGACUAGCCGGUGGCCUUCGAAAAGUGGCGGAUAUCUACCUCCUCAGCCUGGAGAGUGUUGGAGGAGCCAGCGUGCUCUCAAAAGGCAGAAAGUUGGCCAGACCUGGGGCAGGAAAGGGUCAAGGAGGGCAAAGGGCCAGGAGGCAGUCAUGCUGGGAGGCCUGGAGGAGACAGCCAGGGAGGAGCUGAGACAGAACAGUCAGCAGCCUCAGUGAGAGGAGCCUCGUGGGAAGACGGUCCCCUGAAAGAAGGGCUCCCAGAACUGAUGAAGGGAAAUGUUCCAUGAAAGGGGGCCAAAGACAAAUAUCAUCUCCUCCCCAGGUUGCUAGCACCUGCCUUCUGCCUCUCACCCAAACGCCAAGCAACAUUUCCUUUGAAACGGUCCAAGUGUGAGAGCUUGAGCCCCACCAGUUGCUGGAAACCAAGCCUCUCAGACGUCAGAAGGCUGAUGUUUUCAUCAUGUGCACAUGUGUGUGUGUGUGUAUGAGAGACAGAGGAAGUCUUGUGGGUUGUCAGGGUCUCGUGGUUUCCUUGUCAGCAUCAGUGACAGUCAGAAGCAGCUUCUUUUUGCUGGUUUCCAACCCAGAACUAGGCCACCUUCAGGGAGUCCCAGCCAGCAACUUCCUCCCUUAGACUAUCUUCCCUUCCCUCAGUGGACGUGCCCCGAAAGAGGAAGAGAUUAGUAUCCCAUUCUGUUCCAAGGCCUGUCUUAGUCCUCGAGUCCUUUCUAUGGUUGAGCCCAGCGUGAUCCUAAGCCUUUGUCCUCACCAUAGGCUCUCCUCUACC